This 351-nucleotide unclassified non-coding RNA is filed under the name soil metagenome. RNAcentral describes it as "partial contains 5.8S ribosomal RNA, internal transcribed spacer 2, and large subunit ribosomal RNA". The stretch from base 1 to 120 matches the Rfam family "5.8S ribosomal RNA", at positions 35 to 154 of the family's 154-position model. The record is from RNAcentral.
GAUGAAGAACGUAGUGAAAUGCGAUAAGUAAUGUGAAUUGCAGAAUUCAGUGAAUCAUCGAAUCUUUGAACGCACAUGGCGCCUUCCAGUAUCCUGGGAGGCAUGCCUGUCCGAGCGUCGUUUCAACCCUCGAGCCCCCGUGGCCCGGCGUUGGGGAUCUGCCACGGCAGGCCCCUAAAACCAGUGGCGGACCCGAAGGCCCUCUCCUUUGCGCAGUAGCAUCAGCCUCGCAUUGGGAUCCCUCGGCGUCCUGCCUCUAAACCCCCCACAAGUCCGCUCCGGCGGCACCAAGGUUGACCUCGGAUCAGGUAGGAAUACCCGCUGAACUUAAGCAUAUCAAUAAGCGGAGGA